Molecule: RNA transcript, 1702 nt
Organism: Alligator sinensis (Chinese alligator)
Lineage: Eukaryota; Metazoa; Chordata; Crocodylia; Alligatoridae
Gene: BCAT1
Gene name: branched chain amino acid transaminase 1
Exons: 13
Source: RefSeq, a predicted model, not a curated record
GCCGGCCGGCGGGCGGGCGCGCUUCAUCCGGCCGGGCGCAGGCUUGCUGUCCUCAGCAUGAUGAAGGGUUGUCAGACAGAGUGCCUAGCUGGAGGAUGUACAGGGGGAGCCACGAAGCAAGUGACUGAAUCUUUCAAGGCUGAAGACUUAAUUAUUACCCCGGCAACUACUCUCAAGGAAAAACCAGACCCCAAUGGUUUGGUGUUUGGAACUGUGUUCACAGAUAACAUGUUGAUAAUUGAAUGGUCUUUGGCUUCAGGAUGGGAGAAACCUCAUAUUAAGCCUCUUGAGAAUCUUUCAUUACAUCCAGCCUCAUCAUCUCUCCACUAUGCUGUGGAACCAAGAGGACAGACAGAGGAGAAUCUGGUGUCAAUGCUGUGGCUCAAUGAAUACACACUGUUUGAAGGAAUGAAAGCUUACAGAGGAGUGGAUGGUAAAAUCCGCCUGUUCCGCCCCAUGCUCAACAUGGACCGGAUGGCACGGUCAGCAAAGCGAGCCACGCUGCCAUGUUUUGAUAAGCAUGAACUCUUAGAUUGUAUCCGGAAGCUUGUGGAAGUGGAAACAGAGUGGGUCCCCUACUCAGCCUCUGCCAGCCUGUACAUCCGCCCUACAUUGAUUGGAAUAGAGCCUUCUCUUGGAGUCAAGAAGCCAACUAAAGCCCUACUGUAUGUCAUACUCAGUCCUGUGGGCCCUUACUUUGCAAGUGGAAGCUUUAAUCCAAUAUCCUUGUGGGCAGAUCCAAAAUAUGUAAGAGCCUGGAAAGGAGGAACUGGGGACUGCAAACUGGGAGGGAAUUAUGGUUCUUCUAUUUAUGCCCAGCAUGAAGCCAUAGAACUAGGGUGUCAGCAGGUUUUGUGGCUGUAUGGAGAAGAUCAUCAAAUAACUGAAGUUGGAACUAUGAAUCUGUUCCUGUACUGGAAAAAUGAAGAUGGAGAAGAGGAGCUGGCAACUCCACCAUUAGAUGGCAUCAUUCUUCCUGGAGUGACAAGACAGAGUAUUUUGGAUUUGGCACACCUGUGGGGAGAAUUCAAAGUGUCUGAGCGGUACAUCACCAUGAGUGAUCUGACAACUGCCUUGGGGGAAAACAGAGUGAAGGAGAUGUUUGGUGCUGGGACUGCUUGUGUUGUAUGUCCCGUUUCUAAAAUAUUAUACAAUAAUGAGAAUUUGAACAUUCCAACUAUGGAGAAUGGACCUCAGCUGGCCACUCGCUUCUUAAACAAGCUGACUGAUAUCCAAGGUGCAACAUGGUGUACUUCAGCUGAUACAACAAUCAGAAGGGAUUGCUAAACUGAGCUGCUUGUGAAUUGUGGCUUGUCAUCUACUUUCUACUCACCUGAAACACUGUGUACGGGAGAGAAGACAGUGACUGGGCAAUGCUGGUGUCAUGAGCAAAAACCUGGAGAAGACUGGACCUUCCAUACACUAAAGACAAGCCAAACCAUUACACACAAAUGAUGACCGACUUCUCUAAUGGCGUAUGAGUAGUGUAGUCUUGUCACCUUGAUCCCCAAGAUAUUUGUUUCUCUAUGCCAGGGAAUGUGAACACAAUCAUUUUGAUUUUUACUAUAAUCUUGUUAGUAGAGGUGUCUCUUCUCUUUAGGGGUGCUAGAUGUAAGCAAUAGAACUUUUCCUAGUGGUUUUCUUAGUGCCUCCUUGUGUCUUAUGUACAGUCCAAAAACUUUGUAAAAUACUUUUCAACUGC